ACUCCUACGGGAGGCAGCAGUGGGGAAUAUUGGACAAUGGGCGCAAGCCUGAUCCAGCAAUGCCGCGUGUGUGAAGAAGGCCUGCGGGUUGUAAAGCACUUUCGGCAGGGAAGAAAGGCUCAAUGUUAAUACCAUUGGGCUCUGACGUUACCUGCAUAAGAAGCACCGGCUAACUCCGUGCCAGCAGCCGCGGUAAUACGGAGGGUGCAAGCGUUAAUCGGAAUUACUGGGCGUAAAGCGCGCGUAGGCGGUUAAGUAAGUCGGAUGUGAAAGCCCUGGGCUUAACCUAGGAAUUGCAUACGAUACUGCUUAGCUAGAGUAUGGGAGAGGAAGGCGGAAUUCCAGGUGUAGCGGUGAAAUGCGUAGAUAUCCGGAGGAACACCAGUGCAAACGCCCUCCCCGGACUUUAACAGCCCCUGUGGCGCGAAAGCGUGGGGAGCAAACAGGAUUAGAUUCCCUGGUAGUCCCCGCCCUAAACGAUGGGUACUAGCUAUGGAGCUACUUUACUCUCAGUAGCGCAGCUAACGCAUAAGCAUACGCCUGGAUACUACGGUCGCAAGAUUAAAACUCAAAUGAAUUGACGG
This 584-nucleotide ribosomal RNA is filed under the name uncultured bacterium. RNAcentral's name for it is "SSU rRNA". It matches the Rfam family "Bacterial small subunit ribosomal RNA", at positions 335 to 916 of the family's 1533-position model. The record is from RNAcentral.